GAUCAAGAAUAUAUAUACUUUAUGGGGUCAAAAACUAUUUACAAUAUACCCUAUUUACUCUUCGAAUACCGGGAAUAAUUAAUUCAUGGAUUUAUCACUUUUAUUUUUAUCGGAACACUCCCGUUGGUUUCAUCGCUCUAAUUGAAAUACCGCCAGAGUCAUAAAAUGGGCAGCAUAGAAACUAUAGUUUCUUCAUGGGCAGCACUAAAUACAGCUUUAGAAGCUCUGCCACCACCAGGAGUGCGGUCACACCAGAUCCGAAAACACGUUUGCUAGCAAACAGUGCAACACAUGAUGAUAGAGGCAGAGUGUGACCAGAGGUGAAGGAUGCGUUCCUUACGGUUAAACUACUCAGGCAGCUCUGUUAUUUUGUUUACUUUGUGGAAAUUUGUGAAAAGUUAAUAAAACAAGAAUACAAAAUGGUAGCGGAUCUUAUAUUAUCGGAGGAGAAGAACAUUCAACGUAAUAAACUCCGACAACAUUAAGUAAACCCAAACAAGAAGUUUCGUUUUUCUAUAGAUGCGAGUAUUAUAAAUCAUAUACAUACAUAUGUACACAUGUGCAUACAUAUGAAUGGAAGCACAUUUAACAAUACCCUUUGCACAUUACGCAGUUUGAAAAUAUAACUUAAAUGCAAUCAGUAUUCUUUGAGAAUUUGCUUGUCUGAGAAGAACUUCUGAAGCCUUUUUGGAUUGAUGGAGCAGUCCAGAAACAUAAUUAAGAAACCACUUAAACAUUUUUGUUAACAGCCCAGCCGGGUCUAUGUCUUGGCGACGUGAAGAUAAUGGCUUUCGGAAAAAUUAAACAAAUUAAAAAUACAAAUAAAUUCAAUAUAUUCUCAUUAAUCUCUAAUAAUUGUUUCCUCUUUCACCUAUUUGAUGGCCUCUUUCCACCUGGGCGUCUUUUAGCAGGGUGCGUCGUACACUGCACGAGGAAGACUGUGCGAGCAAG
This 951-nucleotide long non-coding RNA is filed under the name Drosophila guanche. Lineage: Eukaryota; Metazoa; Arthropoda; Insecta; Diptera; Drosophilidae. The record is from RNAcentral.